Molecule: ribosomal RNA, 253 nt
Filed under: uncultured bacterium
Lineage: Bacteria
Description: partial 16S ribosomal RNA
Rfam family: Bacterial small subunit ribosomal RNA
Source: RNAcentral
UACGUAGGGUGCGAGCGUUAAUCGGAAUUACUGGGCGUAAAGCGUGCGCAGGCGGUUCGUUAAGUUCGUUGUGAAAGCCCCGGGCUCAACCUGGGAACUGCAAUGGAAACUGGCGGGCUUGAAUGCGGCAGAGGGGGGUGGAAUUCCGCGUGUAGCAGUGAAAUGCGUAGAGAUGCGGAGGAACACCAGUGGCGAAGGCGAGUCCCUGGACAACACCUGACACUGAGGCACGAAAGCUAGGGGAGCAAACAGG